Molecule: ribosomal RNA, 253 nt
Filed under: uncultured bacterium
Lineage: Bacteria
Description: partial 16S ribosomal RNA
Rfam family: Bacterial small subunit ribosomal RNA
Source: RNAcentral
UACAGAGGGGGCAAGCGUUAUUCGGAAUUAUUGGGCGUAAAGGGCGCGUAGGCGGCCUGGCAAGUGGAAGGUGAAAUCCCUCGGCUUAACCGAGGAACUGCCCUCCAAACUGCUUGGCUUGAGUCCGGGAGAGGUGAGUGGAAUUCCCAGUGUAGCGGUGAAAUGCGUAGAUAUUGGGAAGAACACCCGCGGCGAAGGCGGCUCUCUGGGACGGUACUGACGCUGAGACGCGAAAGCGUGGGGAGCGAACAGG